CAAAAAGCCACACUCAUUAACAAAUUAUCUGAUGUUGCCUUCACAUAUUAUUGGAAUUAGACGUGAAUGCCUCUCAAGUCGUAUUUAGAACUUCCGAUAGCACCUGAAGGCAGCAUUAGAAACUAGAUUUAAGAACAAAAAUUAUUCUCCCAUACAUUUCAGUUUUUAGUGUAAAUAUAUACUGACCGUUUAUUUUGUAGUGUGCUUUUUUGCAUGUUGUGUGUGUGUAAAAAUAAAACUGAAAAUUGUAAGCCUAUAGACCAUUUUUCCCUUCUUUUUUCAGUGCUUUUGUCAGUUAUUUUCAUUGGCUAAAUAACUUAUAAUUUGGUUAACUUAUGUCAUUGUGUAAUGAUAGCAAGAAUUAAAUUAAACUACUUCAAAUCACCCAGAGAGUAUAACCUUGUAACUACUUUUAAUAUUUAAUAGUAAACCCAAAUAAGAAACACUUUUUUUUCUGCUCUGGACAUUUUAAUUUCUGUGCUGUUGAUGCCCUGGUUAAAAAUGUUUCAAAACAAAUUGCAAUUAAGGCAAAUAUUAAGAAUCCAAAAGACUUUAGGUGACAAUUCUCAUAGUGCACAACUUAGAGCACAAGGAGCACAGCUUUUAAGCAAAAGUGAGUGGGUUUGUGACUCCAGGUACACAGGGGACCAACUGAGAAGAUUGUUCUGCAUCCACGUGUUAAGAUCAAGGCCAAUCUUGUCUGUUUGGCCCUGUGUGGCCCCCUGUGCAUCUUGACCCCACCCAUCUACAUGAGUAUAGAGCACCUUUCACACUGCACAUCCCGGAAAAUUGCGGAGUGCCUUCUGUGUGAAUCCAAACACGUCCCGGGAUUGAUUCCGGCAUCGAUUCAAGGUCGGGGACCUAGUAACAUUGCUGGGUUCAGUCCCAGAAUGAACUCUGUGUGAACAAAAGCCGGAACCAAUGCCGUAACGCAUGUGUCGUAAUGAUUAUGUAGUUAUCGUGUGACUCUUUGGGUUUUUUUCAACAGUACAACCCUGCAGUGCCAGAGGGGCUAGUCAUUGUUUUAAAGCAGAGAGUGGUGUUCACCUAAAAAAAAAUAAUAACUAAAAAUAAAGAGAAAUGUGUGCAAACUGGACUGAAGCAGAGACCACGGAGCUCCUCAGUAUCCGCACUGAAGCUGAGAUCGUUCGCCAGCUCAGUGCAACGGUACGUGAUGUGGUUGUGUAUGAGCAAAUUAAAAACAAAAUGCAACAGCGUGGUUUCUCGAGAGAGAAAUUGCAGGUAAUUAGUAAGCUUUGCAAAAAAGUCUUUGCAAAAAAAUAUCCUCCAAGUGCUGGAUCACACUGGAAAGAGCGGCAGCAGAAGAUUAGAUUGGUCUUUCUACAAUUUAUGUUACAAUAUAGCCUAGCGUUUUCAACUUGUGCAUUACGUUACAUCCUGAUGUCACGUGUCAUUACAGGACCAUUACGGGUUGUGUGUGAACUCACGCACGGAUUCCAGGAAAUCACUGGCAGUGUGAAUGAACCAAUAUCUAACGAUCUGGGAACAACUGCCAGGACACGUUACCCAUGUAUUCUCCUGAAUCUCAGUGUGAAAGGGGCUUAAGUGUUUUGGCCCCACAAUUUGAGACAUCAGCCAGUUUGAUUUCAGAGUCAAUUUUCUUCAGAGGGCAGUGUUAUUGUGCAUUUAAUGCCCAGAAAACAGAGACUGCCUCCUGUUAUUUCGAAAAGAGAGCAGGGACGACGCAAGAUAUUCUGCCAGAGGCGUUCAGUGGACCUGGACAACACAGCUUUCCGAGUCCAGAGGGCAGAGUCCGAAAAAGAGCAAACAACCCAGAAAUUUCACAAACCUCACUGGCCUCCAAUGAUUUCUUUGGAGGAAAUCAAAAGGAGGAGACGGUUCCAGAAAAGACUGGAGAGAAAGUCUUCUCUCCAAGCAUCCCUAUCCACUAGACGGAAAGGCCUGCAGAGAGAGUCUUCUCCACAAACCACCCCAUCCACCAGUCAGCAGUGGCCUCCAGUGCUCAAAUGUCAGAGUAUCAGCUGUAGCUGAUGCAGCCCUAAACAGGUACCAAGGGCCACAGCCUGGAGAAAAAAGAAGAGUUCUGAAGAGGACAAAAAGGCCCUAAUGCACAACAAAGAAAUUGCACGGCGAGCAGAUCCAAAGGGAUAUCCAUGCAGAUUGUGCGGACAGCCAAAGAGACUGGAGUUUGGUCACAGUCUCUUCAGAGGAAAAAGUUUCUGUGCCACCGCAGCUGGAAAGACAGUUUCUCAAUGGCUUUCUGAGCAGAAGAGGUUUGCAGCCGCAGACAAUGUUGACAACGUGCCUCGGACAACUGCUUGAAGGAAAAAGAAGAUAGAGGAAGCCACUGCACAGGGCCUGCCUCAGAAAAGGCCAAAGAAAUGCAAACCACUGACUUGCUCUCUGUGUCAGCAGCCAAAAAAUGAAGGAUUAUGUACACUCACGGUACUGUGACAAAUCCUUUUGCAGCAGUUAUGAGGGCAAGACUGUGGAACUUUGGCUGGCAGAGCAGCGGUCUCUUGCUCCCCCUAAAUAAUUGCCACUGUAUUUUUGUUUUCUUUAUCUCAAUCUUUUAUUAUCUUUGUUAAUUUUAUUAGAGUGUCUGUUUGCAAGUAGUUCAG
Molecule: long non-coding RNA, 2603 nt
Organism: Cyprinus carpio carpio
Lineage: Eukaryota; Metazoa; Chordata; Actinopteri; Cypriniformes; Cyprinidae
Source: Ensembl